Molecule: non-coding RNA, 1117 nt
Organism: Camellia sinensis
Lineage: Eukaryota; Viridiplantae; Streptophyta; Magnoliopsida; Ericales; Theaceae
Source: RefSeq, a predicted model, not a curated record
UAUAUAUAUAUAUAUAUAUAUGUGGAUGAUAAUUCUGUUGUAAUGCUGUUGGUUUUAUUUAGCAUGCUUUUGCAGCCUAAAUUGCUUCUCAAGUGUAUUUAUUAAAUUCGAUACAUGUCAAGGUGCAAUCACAUGAUCGAUCUUUUGUUGAUUUGUGUUAUAUUACUACAAUUUCUUGCUUGCCUACAUUUUGCAGGGCCACAGGCAAAGGGUAUUUUGGUGGUCCAUAUCAUCCUUCCCUCUACUAAUUUCAGGCUAUGUUUUAAAGGUGUUAGGUAUUUCUUUUUCUAAACCACUUUACACUUUGAGCUAUAUGUGCAUUACUGCAGGAGCAUCAGGAUUCCUCUUAACCAUCAUCUUUUACAUACGGAUGGGAAUGAAUGCUCUCAUUAUUUAUGCUUUGGGUGCUUGUGACCUCUUUCCGGCAGCUUUGUAAGGUUUCUAUUGGCAUUCACCAGAAAACAAUCUUUUAAUCAUAUUUUGGAGCAGUGUGGCAGGUCUAUAAAUCUCCUUUGUUAGAAAAAUAUUCUUCAGUGCUUAGUGCAAUGACUGAGAUGAGUUUCUUCAUUUAUUUAUUGGUUGUUGUCCCUUGUUAUUUGUUUAUUUUUUAAAUUAAUUCCUUGCCAUCUAUGCUCAUGGGGCCACCUUUUUUUUUUGGGAGGGAGGGGGGGGGCGCACUGCAGAGGAAUGUUUGCAGUCAAAGAUGUUAUUGGUGACCUUCAUAUUAAUAUUCUUUGGUUGUCUUUGUACCCAAGAAAAAGGAAAAAAAAAAUUUUAAUUGUUGUCACAUGUUGGGUGCAUUCUUCUCUUUUCCCUAAAUUUUCGUGCCUCCUCAUUUUCAUCUCCUUCAUUAAAACAGCUAUUUCUUAUCUUUCUCUGCUGGCAAAAAAAAUAAUUUUAUUCUGUACCAGAAAAGAAAAGGAAAGAAAAAAUAAAAUCAUUUGUCAGUUUGAUCUAUUGCUCUUGUGGGUCUGCGUAACUGAUUAGAAAUUUCAGUCACCAGCUUGAUUUAUUGCUCACGGGGAAGCACAGAUGAUAUCUAAUAAUGUGUAAUAACUCUUUGUUCCUUGUUUUGUUGCCUUUUUUAAGACCAUUUCGACUGGGUAGUUGGUUCUUA